This 644-nucleotide ribosomal RNA is filed under the name Candidatus Regiella insecticola. Its description in RNAcentral is "bacterial SSU rRNA". It matches the Rfam family "Bacterial small subunit ribosomal RNA", at positions 125 to 764 of the family's 1533-position model. The record is from RNAcentral. Lineage: Bacteria; Pseudomonadati; Pseudomonadota; Gammaproteobacteria; Enterobacterales; Enterobacteriaceae.
UCUGGCUUAUGGAGGGGGAUAACCAUUGGAAACGGUGGCUAAUACCGCAUGAUGUCGCAAGACCAAAGUGGGGGACCUUARGGCCUCACGCCAUGAGAUGAACCCAGAUGAGAUUAGCUAGUAGGUGCGGUAAUGGCGUACCUAGGCGACGAUCUCUAGCUGGUCUGAGAGGAUGACCAGCCACACUGGAACUGAGAGACGGUCCAGACUCCUACGGGAGGCAGCAGUGGGGAAUAUUGCACAAUGGGCGGAAGCCUGAUGCAGCCAUGCCGCGUGUGUGAAGAAGGCCUUAGGGUUGUAAAGCACUUUCAGCGGGGAGGAAGGCGGUAAGAGUAAUAUGCUUAUCRAUUGACGUUACCCGCAAAAGAAGCACCGGCUAACUCCGUGCCAGCAGCCGCGGUAAUACGGAGGGUGCGAGCGUUAAUCGGAAUAACUGGGCGUAAAGRGCAUGUAGGCGGUAAGUUAAGUCAGAUGUGAAAUCCCCGAGCUUAACUUGGGAACGGCAUUUGAGACUGGCUGGCUAGAGUUUUGUAGAGGGGGGUAGAAUUCCAGGUGUAGCGGUGAAAUGCGUAGAGAUCUGGAGGAAUACCGGUGGCGAAGGCGGCCCCCUGGACAAGGACUGACGCUGANGUGCGAAAGCGUGG